RNAcentral lists this ribosomal RNA (522 nucleotides) under Triticum aestivum (bread wheat). RNAcentral describes it as "partial small subunit ribosomal RNA". Lineage: Eukaryota; Viridiplantae; Streptophyta; Magnoliopsida; Poales; Poaceae. The record is from RNAcentral.
AUGGCGGAUGUAAGUCAUGAGUCAAUGAUGGAGUACUAUCAUAUUGCCAACAAGAUGUUUAAUAGUGAGGAUGAAGGUUAUAGAUUCUAUAACAAAUAUGGUCUUGAGAAAGGUUUUAGUGUCCGGAGAAGCUAUGUCGAGUGGGACGGAUCCAACUGCCAUAUAAUUUUAAGGAAAUUUAUGUCCAGUCGUGAAGGGGUUCGUGAAGAGAAGAACAUGAAGAGGAAGAUGGAAGAUAGAAAGAGGAGGCCACGGAGUAUAACUCGUGUAGGGUGUAAAGCUAAAUUGGUGAUUGCAAGACAGGAGGAAACAGGUCAGUGGUUUGUGAAGGAUUUCAUCGAUGAACACAACCAUCCCCUAGCCCCACGGGAUCUGUCGUGUCUUUUGCGUUCACACAGAAGAAUUAGCGAUGAGCAGAAAGCGGACAUUGCAGAUAUGGAAAAAUCAGGGAUCAGAAAACACCAUAUUAUGGAUAUUAUGUGCAUGCAAUACGGUGAUAUGAUGAGGUUGGAUGCAUUAUGA